RNAcentral lists this ribosomal RNA (253 nucleotides) under uncultured bacterium. RNAcentral describes it as "partial 16S ribosomal RNA". It matches the Rfam family "Bacterial small subunit ribosomal RNA", at positions 524 to 776 of the family's 1533-position model. The record is from RNAcentral.
UACGGGGGGGGCAAGCGUUGUUCGGAAUUACUGGGCGUAAAGGGCUCGUAGGCGGCCAACUAAGUCAUACGUGAAAUCCCUCGGCUUAACCGGGGAACUGCGUCUGAUACUGGAUGGCUUGAGAUUGGGAGAGGGAUGCGGAAUUCCAGGUGUAGCGGUGAAAUGCGUAGAUAUCUGGAGGAACACCGGUGGCGAAGGCGGCCCCCUGGUUGGAUACUGACGCUGAGACGCGAAAGCGUGGGGAGCAAACAGG